Molecule: small nuclear RNA, 286 nt
Filed under: Mus caroli (Ryukyu mouse)
Lineage: Eukaryota; Metazoa; Chordata; Mammalia; Rodentia; Muridae
Description: sRNA (MGP_CAROLIEiJ_G0008674.1)
Rfam family: 7SK RNA
About the family: 7SK was discovered as an abundant small nuclear RNA in the mid-70s but a possible function has only recently been suggested.
Source: RNAcentral
AGAUAUAAGGAUGCUCUGGUCAAAACAUCUGUAACCCAGUUGGUCGCCAGGGUUGAUUCAGCUGAUCUAACUGGCUAGGCCAAGUGUUCCCUUCCUCACUCAGUGUUCCAGGUGCAUCCCUCGCGAAACUACAAAGAAAAUGAUGUUCCCAAAAGAGAUGAAUAGAUGAGGCCUGAUCUUAGGCUAAAGGUAAAAGAGUAGCUGUAAUCCUUUGCUAGAACCCCCAAACAAGUUUUCAAGAGAAUAUAUAAACUGUCACCUAGGAGUUCACACAAAUGUGAAAUAU